UACGUAGGCAGCGAGCGUUGUUCGGAAUUACUGGGCGUAAAGAGUGUGUAGGCGGUGCUCUAAGUUCGGUGUGAAAUCUCCCGGCUUAACUGGGAGGGUGCGCCGGAAACUGGAGUGCUCGAGCGUGGGAGAGGAAAGCGGAAUUCCUGGUGUAGCGGUGAAAUGCGUAGAUAUCAGGAGGAACACCUGCGGUGUAGACGGCUUUCUGGACCAUUGCCGACGCUGAGACACGAAAGCGUGGGUAGCAAACAGG
RNAcentral lists this ribosomal RNA (253 nucleotides) under uncultured bacterium. RNAcentral's name for it is "partial 16S ribosomal RNA". It matches the Rfam family "Bacterial small subunit ribosomal RNA", at positions 524 to 776 of the family's 1533-position model. The record is from RNAcentral.